This is a long non-coding RNA of Chinchilla lanigera (long-tailed chinchilla), 626 nucleotides long. RefSeq lists it as uncharacterized. NCBI's taxonomy places the organism in Eukaryota, Metazoa, Chordata, Mammalia, Rodentia, Chinchillidae. The record is from RefSeq and is a predicted model, not a curated record. The transcript has 4 exons.
GACCAUGGUUCCCGUCUCGCCUUCAACCACACACCCCAGUGACUUGUCUCCUGAAGGUUCCACCACCUUCCAGUCCCCCACAGGACAGUGAAUAAACCAUGGCCACGUGGACCUCUGGAGUACAUAUCCAGCCCUGGCAAUAGUGAUAUCUUAGGCAAAGACUGAAAGGUAUCAAAUCAUAGAAGAAGACAGUAAGAGAAUGAAAGUUAGAAUAAUUUAGCAUGAUAAGGACAUCGUCAGCAUCAGAAAAACAAUGGAUACUAAAUAGAUCUUCCAGCCUUCAAAGCAGUUAGGCUCUGUAACCCCACUGGAUUUUGGCCAGUAGAGUGGACUAUGGUGGCAGUCUCCAGACUGAAGAUGGCUUGGAACACGCUGCGAUGAGAAGUACUUAUGCUCGGGGGCUAAGAGAAGUUCCUUAUAGACCUGACUGAGGACGGCGCUAGAGGAACAGUUAUGCAGAAAGGCUGCAAAGGGCAUCUCACAGGCUGGGUCUGGCAUAUGAAGCUUGUUGCAAUCAGAGCUAAUAUCUCCUGGAGUGGCCAUGGGUCACCUGAUGUAGCUGGGGUGACUGCAAGCCCUCUGGGGUCACCAAGAAAAAUGAAAAAUAAAAAGUAUCUCUUGGAGAG